Molecule: long non-coding RNA, 1702 nt
Filed under: Marmota monax (woodchuck)
Lineage: Eukaryota; Metazoa; Chordata; Mammalia; Rodentia; Sciuridae
Source: RNAcentral
UAACUUUAUAUCUGAAUUAUCAUAGCAUCAACAGGGCUGUGGGAUUGAAGCUAUCAUUAAUAUUACAUUAGAUCACACUACUAACAAACAUUUCCUUCCUGUUUCAAAGCUCCUGACUCUACUUAGAUGUUUUAGAAAACUCAUGUUCCUAGUCUACUUAGAUGAUGCCUUGAAUAGUUUUGGCUCAUUUGCAGAGCAGAGAUGACUGAUACCCCUAAAUCCCAACGAAUGAAGUCUUUCCCAGGUCCUAAUUACCACUACUUCUCACUUUUUCCUAAAAUUUUCUGAUCAUUCAUUGAUUCAUUCACUUAUUCACUCACUCACUCAAUGGGUACUUACUGAUCAUAUAACAGGUGCCAGGCAUGGUGUGGUAGAUUUAUUCUAUGAUAGUGAGCUAGGUAGAUGUGAAUCUUGGCUUCUGGAGCUUUCAUAGUAUACCCAAUGAAUAGGGAGAUGUUCAGGGAGAGUAUAACUGGAAGUUAAAAUAACCUGCAAGGUCAGAUUUCUGUAAAGAAGUAACAUUUAGCUGAGACAUGAAGUAACUGGAAGAAAAGGCUGAAAUGCCAUGAGAAUGAGAACCAGGAAUGCUGGAACGUUCAAACUGUAAUUACUACCAGCAUGUGAAAAAGCCCUGUGGUGGGAAGAAGCUCAGUGGGUUCUAGAUACUUGUCAGAGCAGAGAGGUUCAAAGAGUGACUAGAGAUGGUUCUGAGGCAUCAACAGGGCCAGAUCAACCCAGGUAUUGCAGGUAAUGUCAAAUAAGAAUUCUGAAGUCUAUCUUAAUAUCAAGAAAAAGCCAUUGAUGGGAGUGGCAUGGUCAGUGUUAUAUUUUUAAAUAUCACUCUGUCUACAUUGUGGAGAAAUGCAAAAGGAAAUGGAAAGGAAAUGCAAUUGUGCAUGUGGUUAUAAGAACACAGCAGUAACACAGGUGAAAAAUUGUGUGUGGAUGGGGAGAGUACAGCGAAGAUGAGGGUGGAGAGGGUUCAGAUGAGAGAAUUUUGCAGAACCUGGAGAUGUUUUGGACAUAGGUAAAUGGAGAAAGUAAGAAGGCCAGGUAGAUUCCUGGGUUCCUCUUGAAUAACUGAAUGAGUAAUGGGGCAAAAGUGGUACCAUUUGUGGGAUUAGGGUAGCCAAGAUCUGAGCAGGUUUGUGUGAGAAAUAGACAUCAAAUAGACAUCAAAGUGUAAGUGUCCAGUUUUACCAUAAAAAAGGCUUGUAGCUUAGAGGAGAGGUCAAGGCUGCAGAAAUAAAUUAACUAGCUAUCUAUCAUGGCUAUGUAAAUAAGCAAAAAAUAACAAUGAUGAUGGUAUUCCUCCAAAGCCCUUUGCUCAGGCAGAAAGAAAACUGGUAUGUCACAGGCAUGAAUCCUUACAUUGCAAUACUUGAUUCUCAACUCACCAGGCUGUAAACAUUAAAUAUGUACAUACUGGUUUUUGUAUGUUAUCAUACCUCAAUAAAGUAGUUUUUAAGAAUAUGAGGCAUAGAUGUCAGGCGCCGCACACGCCUGUAAUCUCAGUGGCUCUCGAGGCUGAGAAAGGAGGAUCGUGAGUUCAAAGCCAGUCUCAGCAAUGGUGAGGCACUAAGCAACUCAGUGAGACCCUGUCUCUAAAUAAAAUACAAAAUAGGGCUGGGGAUGUGGCUCCGUGGCCAAGAGCCCCUGAGUUCAAUCCCCAAUACCAAAAAAAAAAAAAUAUAUAUAUAUA